ACUCCGUCUCGGUGCACAACCGACCAAAUUCACCCAAAGGAAAACAAACCCAGAGAAGUGAGGCGUAGUAGUGCUCGUCCUUUUCACUUCUAUUUCCUUAUUUACUCGAUAUCGGGAAGGCAGGAGGACAGAAAAGAAGUUAUGAGGUGAUAUGUUGUAGGAACAGCAGGCAAAAUGCUUUACGUAUUUCUUGUGGACACAGGGACCAUGAUGACCUUUGACAUGAACCUGGCACUGGAAAAUGUGUCGGUUCUGAAGGAGGUCAUUCACCGGUCCAUGAGGGUACCCCCGGAGAAGCAAGUCCUGCUCAUCUCAGGGGUGAGGC
RNAcentral lists this long non-coding RNA (325 nucleotides) under Penaeus japonicus. Its description in RNAcentral is "uncharacterized LOC122254832". Lineage: Eukaryota; Metazoa; Arthropoda; Malacostraca; Decapoda; Penaeidae. The record is from RNAcentral.